Molecule: long non-coding RNA, 2175 nt
Organism: Betta splendens (Siamese fighting fish)
Lineage: Eukaryota; Metazoa; Chordata; Actinopteri; Anabantiformes; Osphronemidae
Exons: 6
Source: RefSeq, a predicted model, not a curated record
ACUGAAUAUUCAUGAAUGGGCAAGUAGACUCCAUCACUACCCUCAAACAGCGCUGGUCUCAGAUCAGAGACGCGAACUCAAUCACCUCAAACAGUGCGCGUAAACCCCGCCCACAUCUGAUCUGGAAACUUUUGUUUUUAGCCUGGACGUAACUUCGGCUAGCUAGUAUAGUUAGCCAACUAAUUCUCCACCGGCGCCACAGAAAUAUUCUUUUUAAACCUACUUGACUCCUCAUUAAUGGUGUUUACGACAGAACGGCAGUUUGAAGCGGAGCCUCAGCCCGCACACCUGCCGUUACAGCCCGUUCAAUCUCCCCCAACGGGAGGGAGUCGGAGCUGGCGGCCAUGAUGGCUUCGACUUCAGGCUUCUCUCCAGUAUUUUCGUGCACCGAUCCAGAGUCAGAUGUGGGCGGGGUUUACGCGCACUGUUUGAGGUGAUUGAGUUCGCGUCUCUGAUCUGAGACCAGCGCUGUUUGAGGGCAUUAUGGAGGCCCCAAAUAUGCGGCCUGCUGCAGGAGUCUUGUUGGGUGCAGGUUACACACUACACUACACUACACACUCUUCUAUUGACCCCUGUGGUUUGACCUGGGGCCCGUUUCAAGAAGGAGGUUUAACAAACUCUGAGAGUAACUAAAUUCUGAGUUGAUUUACACUGAGUUUGGAAACCUGGAGUUUUCGGUUUCAGAACAGCUGAAAAGAGUUGGUUUAAGCAACUCCGAGUUGAUUGACUCAGAGUUAAGCGCUGUCACCAUGGCAACAUGACAACAAAAGAGUAGUAUAUUUAUGUAUCAUAUUAUAUAUUAUUAUAUAGGUAUUGAACAAUAUGUUCUGGUCAGGUUAAGAUGCAGCGACUGUUCCUCAACCCUUGCAGUUUGGCAGGGUCGUUGUCUGGGGAGCAUCUGGGAUAGACUCCAGGAAACAGACAUUUACAUUUACUUUUAGCAGUAAAAUUGAUCAUUGCUUAUGAGAGAAGUACAGAGAGUAGAUGGGUUCGUGUGUCCUCAGUGACUGGGGUGAAAGCGUUUGCUUGAACUGGGUUCGCAGAAUCUGUGUUCGCAGAAUCUGUUGCGUAAACUGUUUAUCCGAGCUGUUCCUAAGGAAAUAUUCAAAAUGUCACGCCGACCUGGGAAAGGAAUUAGGAGGUUGAUGGUGGGCCAGAUGCAUACGGGAGCUGGACAGAUAACACGGCCCAGCGCCAGGACCUUCAGAGUAGCCGAGAAAAACAUCUACACGUCCUUAUUUGGACAUGUGGAAAGAUUUUAGGUGGUGGUUAAAAGCAGGCCUUCACAGGCUGGGGUUUUUUAGAGCGCUUCGCAGAGGGUCCGCUGGUAGCACACAGCGGACCUUUUCCGACCUCUCAGUUCUCUCUGCAGAGGAACAAGCAGGUGAAUUUGGUUUCUGCCUCUCUUGCUAUUACUCUUUUGUAAUCAUUAUCUGAUUGAUUUAAUUUGUCAUGUAUAAUAAAUUUGUAUGCUAUUGAUUUAAACUUCAAAGAUGAGUUCUUGUGAAAUCUCUGUCGUGGUUGAAGAGAAUAGAAAUACACGACAGUUAUGUCAAGCAUAUAGCGACCGACACGAUCAUAUCAUGGGUGUAGACUACCUAACUUUACAACAGUUGACAUAUUAAAUAACUAAAUAGCAUACAGAGUAUAUCAGUGCAGCAGGAUUUUCAACAUGGCUGUAAUGUUUUCACACAGUUAAAUCUUUUGACUUCUACUCAGCCAACAGAAAGAAGGCAGAGGCUAGACAACUGGUGGAUGACCUGCACCUCCACCACUGACGCAUGCAGAGGUGUUUGCCCCUUAGCCUGAACACUGGAAAGCAGGGGCUGAAGGAAUUCCUGGAGGGAGUUAAUCAGAACCAGUCACUCCCCAGGAUACAAGUGCAUUUGUAAAAUAUUCUGAUGGUAAUAUGUGAAUCCUCCUGUCACAACAGAAGCCCAGGAUGUUAGUGUGAAAGAACAGGAGGGGGGUCCGUCACAUUCUGCUGCACAGAUGCACACAUUACCAGUUAAGGAGUUGUAUAAACUAAAGCUCAAGGAAAUGUUAUACUUGGACCACCAGGUUGAAAAGACAGAUCUAGAAAUUGAAAUUCUCAAACAAAAGCUGGAGGAAAUGAAGAAAACCAAAUAAAUUAUGAUUUGCAUUCAUUCAGUUUCUUUUAUUGGUGGUGGUGGU